AAACCAACCGGGAUUGCCUUAGUAACGGCGAGUGAAGCGGCAAAAGCUCAAAUUUGAAAUCUAGUACCUUCGGUGCUCGAGUUGUAAUUUGUAGAGGGAUACUUUGGGGCCGUUCCUUGUCUAUGUUCCUUGGAACAGGACGUCAUAGAGGGUGAGAAUCCCGUGUGGCGAGGAGUGCGGUUCUAUGUAAAGUGCCUUCGAAGAGUCGAGUUGUUUGGGAAUGCAGCUCUAAGUGGGUGGUAAAUUCCAUCUAAAGCUAAAUAUUGGCGAGAGACCGAUAGCGAACAAGUACAGUGAUGGAAAGAUGAAAAGAACUUUGAAAAGAGAGUGAAAAAGUACGUGAAAUUGUUGAAAGGGAAGGGCAUUUGAUCAGACAUGGUGUUUUGCGCCCUCUGCUCCUUGUGGGUGGGGGACUCUCGCAGCUCACUGGGCCAACAUCAGUUUUGGUGGUCGGACAAAUCCGUAGGAAUGUAGCUUACCUCGGUAAGUGUUAUAGCCUGCGGGAAUACGGCCAGCCGGGA
Molecule: ribosomal RNA, 521 nt
Filed under: Monosporozyma servazzii
Lineage: Eukaryota; Fungi; Ascomycota; Saccharomycetes; Saccharomycetales; Saccharomycetaceae
Description: Kazachstania servazzii partial large subunit ribosomal RNA
Rfam family: Eukaryotic large subunit ribosomal RNA
Source: RNAcentral